UACAGAGGGAGCAAGCGUUGUUCGGAAUUACUGGGCGUAAAGGGCGCGUAGGCGGUUCGAUAAGUCCCGUGUGAAAUCCCUCGGCUCAACUGAGGAAUGGCACGGGAAACUGACGGGCUUGAGUUCGGGAGAGGGAAGCGGAAUUCCGGGUGUAGCGGUGAAAUGCGUAGAUAUCCGGAGGAACACCAGUGGCGAAGGCGGCUUCCUGGACCGACACUGACGCUGAGGCGCGAAAGCUAGGGGAGCAAACGGG
Molecule: ribosomal RNA, 253 nt
Filed under: uncultured bacterium
Lineage: Bacteria
Description: partial 16S ribosomal RNA
Rfam family: Bacterial small subunit ribosomal RNA
Source: RNAcentral